GAUGAAGAACGCAGCGAAAUGCGAUACGUAAUGUGAAUUGCAAAUUCAGUGAAUCAUCGAGUCUUUGAACGCACAUUGCGCCCCCUGGUAUUCCGGGGGGCAUGCCUGUCCGAGCGUCAUUGCUGCCCUCAAGCACGGCUUGUGUGUUGGGCCCCGUCCUCCGAUUCCGGGGGACGGGCCCGAAAGGCAGCGGCGGCACCGCGUCCGGUCCUCGAGCGUAUGGGGCUUUGUCACCCGCUCUGUAGGCCCGGCCGGCGCUUGCCGAUCAACCCAAAUUUUUAUCCAGGUUGACCUCGGAUCAGGUAGGGAUACCCGCUGAACUCAAGCAUAUCAAUAAGCGGAGGA
Molecule: unclassified non-coding RNA, 345 nt
Filed under: soil metagenome
Description: partial contains 5.8S ribosomal RNA, internal transcribed spacer 2, and large subunit ribosomal RNA
Rfam family: 5.8S ribosomal RNA (bases 1-119)
Source: RNAcentral